GCAAGUCGAACGGUGAAGCAGGAGCUUGCUCUUGUGGAUCAGUGGCGAACGGGUGAGUAACACGUGAGCAACCUGCCCCGGACUCUGGGAUAAGCGCUGGAAACGGCGUCUAAUACUGGAUAUGAGACGUGACCGCAUGGUCAACGUUUGGAAAGAUUUUUCGGUCUGGGAUGGGCUCGCGGCCUAUCAGCUUGUUGGUGAGGUAAUGGCUCACCAAGGCGUCGACGGGUAGCCGGCCUGAGAGGGUGACCGGCCACACUGGGACUGAGACACGGCCCAGACUCCUACGGGAGGCAGCAGUGGGGAAUAUUGCACAAUGGGCGAAAGCCUGAUGCAGCAACGCCGCGUGAGGGAUGACGGCCUUCGGGUUGUAAACCUCUUUUAGCAGGGAAGAAGCGAGAGUGACGGUACCUGCAGAAAAAGCGCCGGCUAACUACGUGCCAGCAGCCGCGGUAAUACGUAGGGCGCAAGCGUUAUCCGGAAUUAUUGGGCGUAAAGAGCUCGUAGGCGGUCUGUCGCGUCUGCUGUGAAAUCUGGAGGCUCAACCUCCAGCCUGCAGUGGGUACGGGCAGACUAGAGUGCGGUAGGGGAGAUUGGAAUUCCUGGUGUAGCGGUGGAAUGCGCAGAUAUCAGGAGGAACACCGAUGGCGAAGGCAGAUCUCUGGGCCGUAACUGACGCUGAGGAGCGAAAGGGUGGGGAGCAAACAGGCUUAGAUACCCUGGUAGUCCACCCCGUAAACGUUGGGAA
Molecule: ribosomal RNA, 748 nt
Filed under: Microbacterium sp. R142(2010)
Lineage: Bacteria; Bacillati; Actinomycetota; Actinomycetes; Micrococcales; Microbacteriaceae
Description: bacterial SSU rRNA
Rfam family: Bacterial small subunit ribosomal RNA
Source: RNAcentral